ACACGUAUGAAAGUCAAGCUGAAAGACUUUACUCAAUGAUGUAAGUGGUGGUGCAUGGUCGUUCGUAGUUCGUGGAUUGAUUUGUCUGGUCUAUUCCGAUAACGAGCGAGACCCCAACGUUCCUAAUAGGGGCUUCAGCCCGGCCGGUCGCAAGACUGGUUAGCUGUUGCCUAGGAUUAGCUUCUUAGACGUAUCAGAGCCGAUAAGGUUCUUGAAAUGGGUUAAUAACAGGUCAGUCAUGCCCUUAGAUGUUCUGGGCCGCACGCGCGUUACAAUGGCAUGAAAAGAAAGUGCUUCAAAAGGCGUUUCCGGGGCCGAAAGGUCCUGGUAACCCUUAAUCCCUGCCUUGACUGGGAUAGAUCUUUGCAAUUAUUGGUCUCUAACGAGGAAUUUUUAGUAAUCGUAGGUCAUUAACCUGCGAUGA
Molecule: ribosomal RNA, 424 nt
Filed under: Leocarpus fragilis var. bisporus
Lineage: Eukaryota; Evosea; Eumycetozoa; Physariida; Physaraceae
Description: SSU rRNA
Rfam family: Eukaryotic small subunit ribosomal RNA
Source: RNAcentral